UACGAAGGGGGCUAGCGUUGUUCGGAUUUACUGGGCGUAAAGCGCACGUAGGCGGUUUGUUAAGUCAGGGGUGAAAUCCCGGAGCUCAACUCCGGAACUGCCUUUGAUACUGGCAAGCUAGAGUCCGGAAGAGGUAAGUGGAACUCCUAGUGUAGAGGUGGAAUUCGUAGAUAUUAGGAAGAACACCAGUGGCGAAGGCGGCUUACUGGUCCGGAACUGACGCUGAGGUGCGAAAGCGUGGGGGAGCAAACAGG
Molecule: ribosomal RNA, 254 nt
Filed under: uncultured bacterium
Lineage: Bacteria
Description: partial 16S ribosomal RNA
Rfam family: Bacterial small subunit ribosomal RNA
Source: RNAcentral